Molecule: ribosomal RNA, 649 nt
Filed under: Clistobothrium grimaldii
Lineage: Eukaryota; Metazoa; Platyhelminthes; Cestoda; Phyllobothriidea; Phyllobothriidae
Description: Monorygma grimaldii partial 28S large subunit ribosomal RNA
Source: RNAcentral
GUGAAACCGCAUGCAGGUAAACGGGUGGCGUCAAGCUGCAAGCCCGGAGGAUUCAGCUGGCUAGGAUGUUGUGUAUGCGCCUGGCGCAUCUAUCAGCCGGAGUAAGAUGUGAUAGUCCACUGGUAAACGGUGGGCCCGGCCGCAAGGUUGGGAUAUGUGUACCGGGCGGAAGCCGGAGCAUGCUAUUCGUCUGUUGGGCUGUCUAGUCAGUGCACUUUCUCUGUGGUGAACACCACGACCGGUGGAAUUGCCAGUCUGCUGUAGUCAAGUCGUAUUCAGUCGGUUCUUGUAGCCAACUGGGUGCGAUCACAGGCAAACUCAGUAAACGGCGUAGGGGUGUCUCGGCAUCCUUGCGUGUUAUCGGCUGCUGGUUGUCAACGGGCCUGCCUGAUGAUUGUUGUAACCGUCAUUGGGUGGUCUGGUGGGCUAUGGUGGUAAGAAUAACUGUGCAAGGCAUCGGAGUUCUCGGCCUCAAAUGCAUCCUGCAUACACGUUACAAGUGGAGUGGGGUGCCAUUGCAGCCUGCCUGUUGUUGGGUCUGAUUGUCGUGUCGCCUGCGCAAAGUGGGCCCGGCAGUGGCCUGAUGCGGGAUGGGUUGUGGAUGGUGCUUCCUGUGUAGGGUGCGGUGGGUCAAAUAGUCAGUGGUGUA